UGGGGAAUAUUGCACAAUGGGCGCAAGCCUGAUGCAGCCAUGCCGCGUGUAUGAAGAAGGCCUUCGGGUUGUAAAGUACUUUCAGUCGGGAGGAAGGUGGUAAGGUUAAUAACCUUGGCAAUUGACGUUACCGACAGAGGAAGCACCGGCUAACUCCGUGCCAGCAGCCGCGGUAAUACGGAGGGUGCAAGCGUUAAUCGGAAUUACUGGGCGUGAAGCGCACGCAGGCGGUUGAUUGAGUCAGAUGUGAAAUCCCCGGGCUUAACCCGGGAAUUGCAUCUGAUACUGGUCAGCUAGAGUCUUGUAGAGGGGGGUAGAAUUCCAUGUGUAGCGGUGAAAUGCGUAGAGAUGUGGGGGAAUACCGGUGGCGAAGGCGGCCCCCUGGACAAAGACUGACGCUCAGGUGCGAAAGCGUGGGGAGCAAACAGG
Molecule: ribosomal RNA, 429 nt
Filed under: Chloroflexota bacterium
Lineage: Bacteria; Bacillati; Chloroflexota
Description: Chloroflexi bacterium partial 16S ribosomal RNA
Rfam family: Bacterial small subunit ribosomal RNA
Source: RNAcentral